ACAUGCAAGUCGAACGCGAAAGGGGACGUUCGGCCCCGACGUAGAGUGGCGCACGGGUGGAGUAACGACGUGGAUGAUCUGCCCUCGAUGUUGGGGAAGUAACAAGUUGGAAACGGACUGCUAAUACCGAAUACGCUCCCCCUUUUCACGAUGGGAGGAAAGACGGCCUCUGCUUGCAAGCUGUCGCAUGAGGAUGAGUCCGCGUCCCAUUAGCUAGUUGGUGAGGUAACGGCCCACCAAGGCGACGAUGGGUAGCCGAUUUGAGAGGAUGAUCGGCCACACUGGAACUGAAACACGGUCCAGACUCCUACGGGAGGCAGCAGUGGGGAAUAUUGCGCAAUGGGCGAAAGCCUGACGCAGCGACGCCGCGUGAGGGAUGAAAGGUCUUCGGAUCGUAAACCUCUGUCAGAAGGGAAGAAAGCAGCGGGUGCCAAUCAGCCUGCUGUUGACGGUACCUUCAAAGGAAGCACCGGCUAACUCCGUGCCAGCAGCCGC
Molecule: ribosomal RNA, 495 nt
Filed under: uncultured bacterium
Lineage: Bacteria
Description: bacterial SSU rRNA
Rfam family: Bacterial small subunit ribosomal RNA
Source: RNAcentral